Molecule: ribosomal RNA, 2773 nt
Filed under: Escherichia coli
Lineage: Bacteria; Pseudomonadati; Pseudomonadota; Gammaproteobacteria; Enterobacterales; Enterobacteriaceae
Description: bacterial LSU rRNA
Rfam family: Bacterial large subunit ribosomal RNA
Source: RNAcentral
AGCGUACACGGUGGAUGCCCUGGCAGUCAGAGGCGAUGAAGGACGUGCUAAUCUGCGAUAAGCGUCGGUAAGGUGAUAUGAACCGUUAUAACCGGCGAUUUCCGAAUGGGGAAACCCAGUGUGUUUCGACACACUAUCAUUAACUGAAUCCAUAGGUUAAUGAGGCGAACCGGGGGAACUGAAACAUCUAAGUACCCCGAGGAAAAGAAAUCAACCGAGAUUCCCCCAGUAGCGGCGAGCGAACGGGGAGCAGCCCAGAGCCUGAAUCAGUGUGUGUGUUAGUGGAAGCGUCUGGAAAGGCGCGCGAUACAGGGUGACAGCCCCGUACACAAAAAUGCACAUAUUGUGAGCUCGAUGAGUAGGGCGGGACACGUGGUAUCCUGUCUGAAUAUGGGGGGACCAUCCUCCAAGGCUAAAUACUCCUGACUGACCGAUAGUGAACCAGUACCGUGAGGGAAAGGCGAAAAGAACCCCGGCGAGGGGAGUGAAAAAGAACCUGAAACCGUGUACGUACAAGCAGUGGGAGCCUCUUUAUGGGGUGACUGCGUACCUUUUGUAUAAUGGGUCAGCGACUUAUAUUCUGUAGCAAGGUUAACCGAAUAGGGGAGCCGAAGGGAAACCGAGUCUUAACUGGGCGUUAAGUUGCAGGGUAUAGACCCGAAACCCGGUGAUCUAGCCAUGGGCAGGUUGAAGGUUGGGUAACACUAACUGGAGGACCGAACCGACUAAUGUUGAAAAAUUAGCGGAUGACUUGUGGCUGGGGGUGAAAGGCCAAUCAAACCGGGAGAUAGCUGGUUCUCCCCGAAAGCUAUUUAGGUAGCGCCUCGUGAAUUCAUCUCCGGGGGUAGAGCACUGUUUCGGCAAGGGGGUCAUCCCGACUUACCAACCCGAUGCAAACUGCGAAUACCGGAGAAUGUUAUCACGGGAGACACACGGCGGGUGCUAACGUCCGUCGUGAAGAGGGAAACAACCCAGACCGCCAGCUAAGGUCCCAAAGUCAUGGUUAAGUGGGAAACGAUGUGGGAAGGCCCAGACAGCCAGGAUGUUGGCUUAGAAGCAGCCAUCAUUUAAAGAAAGCGUAAUAGCUCACUGGUCGAGUCGGCCUGCGCGGAAGAUGUAACGGGGCUAAACCAUGCACCGAAGCUGCGGCAGCGACACUAUGUGUUGUUGGGUAGGGGAGCGUUCUGUAAGCCUGUGAAGGUGUGCUGUGAGGUAUGCUGGAGGUAUCAGAAGUGCGAAUGCUGACAUAAGUAACGAUAAAGCGGGUGAAAAGCCCGCUCGCCGGAAGACCAAGGGUUCCUGUCCAACGUUAAUCGGGGCAGGGUGAGUCGACCCCUAAGGCGAGGCCGAAAGGCGUAGUCGAUGGGAAACAGGUUAAUAUUCCUGUACUUGGUGUUACUGCGAAGGGGGGACGGAGAAGGCUAUGUUGGCCGGGCGACGGUUGUCCCGGUUUAAGCGUGUAGGCUGGUUUUCCAGGCAAAUCCGGAAAAUCAAGGCUGAGGCGUGAUGACGAGGCACUACGGUGCUGAAGCAACAAAUGCCCUGCUUCCAGGAAAAGCCUCUAAGCAUCAGGUAACAUCAAAUCGUACCCCAAACCGACACAGGUGGUCAGGUAGAGAAUACCAAGGCGCUUGAGAGAACUCGGGUGAAGGAACUAGGCAAAAUGGUGCCGUAACUUCGGGAGAAGGCACGCUGAUAUGUAGGUGAAGUCCCUUGCGGAUGGAGCUGAAAUCAGUCGAAGAUACCAGCUGGCUGCAACUGUUUAUUAAAAACACAGCACUGUGCAAACACGAAAGUGGACGUAUACGGUGUGACGCCUGCCCGGUGCCGGAAGGUUAAUUGAUGGGGUUAGCGGUAACGCGAAGCUCUUGAUCGAAGCCCCGGUAAACGGCGGCCGUAACUAUAACGGUCCUAAGGUAGCGAAAUUCCUUGUCGGGUAAGUUCCGACCUGCACGAAUGGCGUAAUGAUGGCCAGGCUGUCUCCACCCGAGACUCAGUGAAAUUGAACUCGCUGUGAAGAUGCAGUGUACCCGCGGCAAGACGGAAAGACCCCGUGAACCUUUACUAUAGCUUGACACUGAACAUUGAGCCUUGAUGUGUAGGAUAGGUGGGAGGCUUUGAAGUGUGGACGCCAGUCUGCAUGGAGCCGACCUUGAAAUACCACCCUUUAAUGUUUGAUGUUCUAACGUUGGCCCCUAAUCGGGGUUGCGGACAGUGUCUGGUGGGUAGUUUGACUGGGGCGGUCUCCUCCUAAAGAGUAACGGAGGAGCACGAAGGUUGGCUAAUCCUGGUCGGACAUCAGGAGGUUAGUGCAAUGGCAUAAGCCAGCUUGACUGCGAGCGUGACGGCGCGAGCAGGUGCGAAAGCAGGUCAUAGUGAUCCGGUGGUUCUGAAUGGAAGGGCCAUCGCUCAACGGAUAAAAGGUACUCCGGGGAUAACAGGCUGAUACCGCCCAAGAGUUCAUAUCGACGGCGGUGUUUGGCACCUCGAUGUCGGCUCAUCACAUCCUGGGGCUGAAGUAGGUCCCAAGGGUAUGGCUGUUCGCCAUUUAAAGUGGUACGCGAGCUGGGUUUAGAACGUCGUGAGACAGUUCGGUCCCUAUCUGCCGUGGGCGCUGGAGAACUGAGGGGGGCUGCUCCUAGUACGAGAGGACCGGAGUGGACGCAUCACUGGUGUUCGGGUUGUCAUGCCAAUGGCACUGCCCGGUAGCUAAAUGCGGAAGAGAUAAGUGCUGAAAGCAUCUAAGCACGAAACUUGCCCCGAGAUGAGUUCU